Molecule: long non-coding RNA, 284 nt
Filed under: Lathyrus oleraceus (garden pea)
Lineage: Eukaryota; Viridiplantae; Streptophyta; Magnoliopsida; Fabales; Fabaceae
Description: Pisum sativum (pea) long non-coding RNA (PSAT_LNC027856)
Source: RNAcentral
UCUUGUAUGUUUUGCUUUUGGUUUAAUAAAUAAAUCAUAAAGUGAUGAAUACACCGCUACAGAAAAGUGGCGACUCUGCUGGGGACUAACCUUCUUAGUGGGUUUGCCAACUUUUCACAAUUGUUGUGAUAUAUUGUUUAUGACAUAUUUUUGUACAAAUUUGGGAUGAAUGUAUUGGUUGUAAUGAUUGAUUUGUUUGAUAUAUCAAUUGCUUGCUUGUUUGGUGAUCUGUGAGAUGAGUUCUAUACCCGAACUGGAGUGUACCUUAUGAUAGGAGAAUGGCA